CCCUUAGAUGUCCUGGGCCGCACGCGCGCUACACUGAACGGAUCAGCGCGUUUUCCCUUCCCGAGAGGGACGGGUAACCUGCUGAACCCCGUUCGUGGUAGGGAUCGGGGCUUGCAAUUAUUCCCCGUGAACCAGUAAUGCCCAGUAAGUGCAAGUCAUAAGCUUGCGUUGAUUACGUCCCUGCCCUUUGUACACACCGCCCGUCGCUACUACCGAUUGAACGUUUUAGUGAGGUACUCGGACUGAGCCUCAGAAGAUUCACGUCUUUUGUGCUGCUCGGGAAGAUUCCCAAACUUGAGCGUUUAGAGGAAGUAAAAGUCGUAACA
RNAcentral lists this ribosomal RNA (326 nucleotides) under uncultured eukaryote. RNAcentral describes it as "partial 18S ribosomal RNA". It matches the Rfam family "Eukaryotic small subunit ribosomal RNA", at positions 1470 to 1796 of the family's 1831-position model. The record is from RNAcentral.